This 483-nucleotide ribosomal RNA is filed under the name Perionyx sp. 2 WL-2010. Its description in RNAcentral is "partial 16S ribosomal RNA". It matches the Rfam family "Bacterial large subunit ribosomal RNA", at positions 1829 to 2598 of the family's 2925-position model. The record is from RNAcentral. Lineage: Eukaryota; Metazoa; Annelida; Clitellata; Crassiclitellata; Megascolecidae. RNAcentral also lists the same sequence under 1 other name.
UGCCACACGCAUAAAAUGUGUGGUAACUCCUGCCCAGUGACAAUCAGUUCAACGGCCGCGGUAUCCUAACCGUGCAAAGGUAGCAUAAUCAUUUGCUCAUUAAUUGUGGGCUAGCAUGAAAGGAUAAACGAAAUAAAAUCUGUCUCAUUUAGUAACCUAAAAAUUAUUCUCCAUAUGAAGAAAUAUGGAUACAAUCGAAGGACAAGAAGACCCUAUAGAGCUUUAUUUAAAUCAUAGAUUAUAUCUAAUGUUAAAAUUCGGUUGGGGCGACCAAGGGAAAAUAAAUCACCCUAUAUAACAAAGAUUUAUUAAUCUAGUAGCUGACCCUUAUAAGACCACAAGAUCAAGCUACCUUAGGGAUAACAGGCUAAUCUCAUUCAAGAGUUCAUAUCUACAAUGGGGUUUGGCACCUCGAUGUUGGCUUAGGUAACUAUAUGGCGCAAAAGCUAUACUAUGUUGGUUUGUUCAACCAAUAAUUUCCUA